RNAcentral lists this ribosomal RNA (381 nucleotides) under uncultured eukaryote. Its description in RNAcentral is "partial 18S ribosomal RNA". It matches the Rfam family "Eukaryotic small subunit ribosomal RNA", at positions 592 to 975 of the family's 1831-position model. The record is from RNAcentral.
CAAUAGCGUAUAUUAAAGUUGUUGCAGUUAAAAAGCUCGUAGUUGGAUUUCUGGUUGAAGCGACCGGUCGGGCGUUGAUUCGUCUGCACUGGAGUCGGUUUUGGCCAUCCUCUAGGAAAGUGCGUCUGGUAUUAAGUUAUCGGGCGUAUGAUCCUGGUCUUUUACUGUGAAAAAAUUAGAGUGUUUAAAGCAGGCCUUCGCCUUGAAUACAUUAGCAUGGAAUAAUAAGAUAGGACUUUGGUCUAUUUUGUUGGUUUGCAGACCGAAGUAAUGAUUAAUAGGGAUAGUUGGGGGUAUUUAUAUUCCGAUGUCAGAGGUGAAAUUCUUAGAUUUUCGGAAGAUGAACUUAUGCGAAAGCAUUUACCAAGGAUGUUUUCAUUA